RNAcentral lists this long non-coding RNA (361 nucleotides) under Chinchilla lanigera (long-tailed chinchilla). Its description in RNAcentral is "lncRNA (ENSCLAG00000029310.1)". Lineage: Eukaryota; Metazoa; Chordata; Mammalia; Rodentia; Chinchillidae. The record is from RNAcentral.
CACAAGAACCUUACUCAUCCAUUUCCUGAUACCCCUUCUAUGACAUCACUAUGUUUUCCCCAACAGCAGCAGGUACAAUGGACUCCUGAAGAAUAUUCCAGAAUUUUAUGUAUUAACAUCAGACCUUAGACAGCUCUAACAGUCAAAUCAAAUGGAACUUGUGACCACUGUGUUAGCCAACAAUAUUCUAAAGUCUUCAUUGCAUUUCCAAACAUGGACAAAACAGAAAGAGCAGGGAUGUCCGAAUGUUCCAAGUCUGGACAGAGCCCACAGCCCUGCUGCAGUUCCCUACUCAUGGCAGGAGUCAGCAUGCACAGUGUUUGGAGGAGAAAAGACUGGUGGCCUUCAAUCCCAUGAGUAA